GCCCUCUCAGGGUUGCACCUGGAGAGUUUCCAGUCCUCUACCAGUCUUAGUUAUGGGAAGGAGAGUCAUGCAGAGGCCUGCCCACUCCAUUCCUAGCUUGGGCAGUGGCUAGCGAGUGGAAGGCGGUCUGCUACAAGU
Small nucleolar RNA from Ornithorhynchus anatinus (platypus), 138 nucleotides. NCBI's taxonomy places the organism in Eukaryota, Metazoa, Chordata, Mammalia, Monotremata, Ornithorhynchidae. The record is from RefSeq and is a predicted model, not a curated record.